UCACUAUCACUACCAACAUGUAAUAGCUCACCAAAAUGUUGUAUUUCAACUGGGCAGAUAAAACAGAUGCUAAUAACCUCAAGAGAAGAAUGUUCCUUACAGAAGAAGGAAUAUUUCCCAACUCAUUUAAUGAGGCCAACAUUAUUCUGAUACCAAAACUAUACAAAAGCAUUACAAGGAAAGAGAACUACAGACCAUUAUUCCUGAUGUACAGGCCCUGUCUUCUUCCAAGUCUUUUGUCUUCAGUGGUGUCUGCAUGAAGUGGAAUCAUUUUCCCAAGCCUGCCAAAUCAAGAAUAAACUCAUCUAAGAAGGGUGGAGAAGCCUAUCUGAAGGGAUGGUUACCCAUAUUGUGAAAAAACUGUAAAUGCUUUCAAUUAAAUGAUGAUAUAAUAUA
Molecule: long non-coding RNA, 396 nt
Organism: Homo sapiens (human)
Lineage: Eukaryota; Metazoa; Chordata; Mammalia; Primates; Hominidae
Source: Ensembl